This 1490-nucleotide ribosomal RNA is filed under the name uncultured Chloroflexota bacterium. RNAcentral's name for it is "bacterial SSU rRNA". It matches the Rfam family "Bacterial small subunit ribosomal RNA". Lineage: Bacteria; Bacillati; Chloroflexota. The record is from RNAcentral.
AGAGUUUGAUCCUGGCUCAGGAUGAACGUUGGCGGUGUGCCUAAUACAUGCAAGUCGAACGGUGACGAUUUUGUAGCAAUACGAAUGAAAUCAUAGUGGCGAACGGGUGAGUAACGCGUUGGUGAUCUGCCUCGAAGUGUGGAAUAACUUCCCGAAAGGGUAGCUAAUACCGCAUAGUCUCUCAGGGUUUAGAAAACUGAGAGUAAAGGAUUUAUUCGCUUCGAGAGGAGCCUGCGUCCCAUCAGCUAGUUAGCGCUAGGGUAUAUAAGGCCUCAACCACAGGCAAUGACGGGUAGGGGACCUGAGAGGGUGGCCCCCCACAAUGGAACUGAAACACGGUCCAUACACCUACGGGUGGCAGCAGUAGGGAAUAUUAGAAAUGGGCGAAAGCCUGAUCUAGCAACACCGCGUGUGCGAUGAAGGCCUUCGGGUUGUAAAGCACUUUUUGGAGGGAAUAGGAAGGAAGGUACCUCCAGAAUAAGUCUCGGCUAACUACGUGCCAGCAGCCGCGGUAACACGUAGGAGGCAAACGUUAUCCGGAUUCACUGGGCGUAAAGCGCGUGUAGGUGGUUCUGUAAGUAGGGCGUGAAAGCUCCCGGCUCAACUGGGAGAGGCCGUACUAAACUGCAGAGCUAGAGGAUGGUAGAGGGAGGUGGAAUUCCAGGUGUAGUGGUGAAAUGCGCAGAUAUCUGGAGGAACACCAGUGGCGAAGGCGGCCUCCUGGACCAUUCCUGACACUCAGACGCGAAAGCUAGGGUAGCAAACGGAAUUAGAGACUCCGGUAGUCCUAGCCCUAAACGAUGCAGACUAGGCGUCGGCGGUUUAAUCACCGUCGGUGUCCAAGCUAACGCGAUAAGUCUGCCGCCUGAGGACUACGGCCGCAAGGCUAAAACUCAAAGGAAUUGACGGGUCCCCGCACAAGCAGCGGAGCGUGUGGUUUAAUUCGAUGCUCCGCGAAGAACCUUACCUGGGUUUGACAUAACAGUGGUAGAGAAGUGAAAACGGACCGACCCUUCGGGGAGCUGUUACAGGUGUUGCAUGGCUGUCGUCAGCUCGUGUCGUGAGAUGUUCGGUUAAGUCCGCUAACGAGCGCAACCCGCGCUGUGUGUUACAAGUGUCACACAGUACCGCCGGUAUUAAGUUCGGAGGAAGGUGCGGAUGACGUCAAGUCAGCAUGACCUUUAUAUCCAGGGCUACCACACAGCGGCUACAAUGGUCAGAACAAUUAGGGUGUGUCCAAGCCGCAAGGCGGAGCCAAUCCUCCAAAUCUGGCCUCAGUUCAGAUUGCAGGCUGCAACUCGCCUGCAUGAAGUCGGAGUUGCUAGUAACCGCAGGUCAGCAUACUGCGGUGAAUACGUUCCCGGGGAUUGUACACACCGCCCGUCAAGUCAUGGAAGCUGGCAACACCUGAAGCCGGUAUCCUAACCCGCAAGGGAGGGAGCUGUCAAAGGUGGGGUCGGUGACUGGGAGUAAGUCGUAACAAGGUAACC